Molecule: long non-coding RNA, 260 nt
Filed under: Setaria viridis
Lineage: Eukaryota; Viridiplantae; Streptophyta; Magnoliopsida; Poales; Poaceae
Description: long non-coding RNA (SVIR_LNC008724)
Source: RNAcentral
GGACAUUAGACUUGGUAUGGAUUUUGGAUGAAAAGGAAUUGAGCUCAGGGAUAGUUGUGCAAUAUUUUAAAAUUAAAUUUAGAAAAUAGGUUUUGGAGUUUUUGAAUUCGAGUGAAUUUUGGAUUUGAAUUUUCGGGCACUCGAGACUCGGGAGGUAGUUUAUUUGUUUAGUUUACAGUGGAGCAAUCGGGCGGGGCAGCUGGAGGUCCGGAUGGCAUCUAAUUGGGCGUGACCCAUAUAAAAUGAACAUUAACGGGCCG